Molecule: long non-coding RNA, 1782 nt
Filed under: Equus caballus (horse)
Lineage: Eukaryota; Metazoa; Chordata; Mammalia; Perissodactyla; Equidae
Description: lncRNA (ENSECAG00000039202.3)
Source: RNAcentral
AAAUACCAUUGUUUGAGGAUUUUUCUAAAAAAAUAUUUUUAACUAUUCAACUCUACAAUGAGAUGGAGACCUUUGUCUUCCAACUUAAUUAGAGUUUCUUAUUAUAUUCACUGCAUUGUGUAGGAUCUGAGUUUUGUAUUUGUCACCCUCUAGAAUGCACAAUGCAGAAGUUCAGUGUUUCAGGAAUUUGGCAGAAACUGGCCCAGUGAAAGCAGGUCUUACAGCAUUCCCUUCUGCUCAAAGGGAGAACUGCCCAGUCUCCUUUCUAAGGCGAAUCAUGCCACCCGCACAUUGUCAAUCAUAUUGCUGCCCGUCACCUCUGAAUAAUUCUUUUUCUUUUUAUCAGUUAACGCAGCAUUUGUUAUCUAACACAAUUCCCAAAGGUCUUCUGAGCACUUCCUGGAGUUGUUAUGUGUGUGAGUCAGGAUAUCAGCAAACGUAUUUGGAGGAGGUUAACAAUUUGUUCUAAUAAAUUCAUCAAUUAAGCCCAGUAACUCCUGAAUGAGGGAGAAAAGAGAAUUGAAUCAAGUGAGUUAGACAGAUGCCUUAAAACUUAACUUUCAAAUGGAAUUGAUUCCUAUGGAAUGCAAAAUCCCUGCAAACACACUGCCAGAUGGAGAUGUGUGUGUUGGCCUCCACCACAUCAUCAACAUCUCUGCUCAAAUUCUAGUGAGCUCUGAGUGCUCCAUUACCCAUUGCAUUCUGCCCCAUUUGAUCCAGGCGCGUUUGCCACUUUGAUGCCUUCACAGUACAAACAAGGCUCGAAGGAUGUGAGACACAAAAUGAUCAGAAGGUAAACUAUUACCAAGAUGCAUCACCAUGUAUACACUAACGAUCUCUUGAGAGUUUUAGACAAUAAAUAGAAGAAACCACUAAACAAGUAGAAGCUUAGAGAGAGUGGAGAUAUUACUCAUUUCAAAGCAAUGAUUAAGAAGUGGAUGCUUUUUACUAGAAAAUGCUUUUUUGGAGCCUGACAACAAAUAAUUUUUGAAUAAAAAUGAGGUAAAUGUUUUCAAGACUUCAUAAAUUUAAAAACUCAUUUAAAAGUUUAUAAAAGUUUUUGUUGUGAAAUGCACAUACUAAUAUAUAUGCAUAUAGUUUAUUGAACAAUAAUAAAAUAUACCCUUCCACACAUUAUUAGACUAAGAGAUAAAAUAUUACCAGUAUUUUAGGAGCUCCAAGAGUGCACUUCAACACAAAUCUUUCUCUUAAACCCUGAAAUUUGUGUUAUUCUGUUGUUGUUACUAAUAAUUCUUACCUACUUGUGUCCAUGACUAUACAUUCCUUAGUUUUUCCUAUUUUUCAAAUUUAUAUAAAUGGACUUUGCUGAAGGAAGUCAUCUGUGAUUUCAGUCUUUCAGUCAAUUACGUGAUUAGGAUAUUCAUCCAGGUGGAUGUAUCUUACAGUAUUCCUUUUGAUUAGAAUGGAGUAUUACAUUGUGUGCAUAUAAUAAUUUUAUCUAUACCAGUGUUAGGAAACAUAUAGGUUGAUUCCUGUGCUUUGGUAUAAAGAAGAAUCCGCUGAGGAACAUUCCUGUAUUUGUGUCCUAGUGCUAUGGAAUACAAUGGCUGUUUUGUUUGUCACCGUUAGUAGUAAUACGAAUUUAUUUUCUAAAAGUGUUGUGCUGGUUUCAUACUGUCGCAGUUUGGAGUUCUCAAUACUUCACAUCAUCUACAACCCAACAUACUGUCUAAUUUUGUAAAUGUGAAUGGUGUGAAAUCACUUACUAUUGUGAUUUUAAUUUACCUUUCUUUGAUUAACCACGAGGUAUGUGGUAAUGUA